AACAUAGAAGUAAAUAAUUACAUUUAGUUUCGACCUAAUAAUAAGGUUAAUAAACCUCAUGUUU
Molecule: transfer RNA, 64 nt
Filed under: Mileewa alara
Lineage: Eukaryota; Metazoa; Arthropoda; Insecta; Hemiptera; Cicadellidae
Description: tRNA-Arg
Source: RNAcentral